RNAcentral lists this transfer RNA (73 nucleotides) under Balneolaceae bacterium. RNAcentral's name for it is "tRNA-Glu". It matches the Rfam family "tRNA". Rfam says of the family: Transfer RNA (tRNA) molecules are approximately 80 nucleotides in length. Their secondary structure includes four short double-helical elements and three loops (D, anti-codon, and T loops). RNAcentral also lists the same sequence under 2 other names. The record is from RNAcentral. Lineage: Bacteria; Pseudomonadati; Balneolota; Balneolia; Balneolales; Balneolaceae.
GCCGCGUUCGUCUAGGGGUUUAGGACGCUGCCCUUUCACGGCAGUAACACGGGUUCGAAUCCCGUACGCGGUA